This 818-nucleotide ribosomal RNA is filed under the name Beauveria sp. 4e-DF10. RNAcentral's name for it is "SSU rRNA". It matches the Rfam family "Eukaryotic small subunit ribosomal RNA", at positions 626 to 1475 of the family's 1831-position model. Lineage: Eukaryota; Fungi; Ascomycota; Sordariomycetes; Hypocreales; Cordycipitaceae. The record is from RNAcentral.
GCUCGUAGUUGAACCUUGGGCCUGGCUGGCCGGUCCGCCACCGCGUGUACUGGUCCGGCCGGGCCUUUCCCUCUGUGGAACCUCAUGCCCUUCACUGGGUGUGACGGGGAAACAGGACUUUUACUUUGAAAAAAUUAGAGUGCUCCAGGCAGGCCUAUGCUCGAAUACAUUAGCAUGGAAUAAUAAAAUAGGACGUGUGGUUCUAUUUUGUUGGUUUCUAGGACCGCCGUAAUGAUUAAUAGGGACAGUCGGGGGCAUCAGUAUUCAAUUGUCAGAGGUGAAAUUCUUGGAUUUAUUGAAGACUAACUACUGCGAAAGCAUUUGCCAAGGAUGUUUUCAUUAAUCAGGAACGAAAGUUAGGGGAUCGAAGACGAUCAGAUACCGUCGUAGUCUUAACCAUAAACUAUGCCGACUAGGGAUCGGACGAUGUUAUUUUUUGACGCGUUCGGCACCUUACGAGAAAUCAAAGUGCUUGGGCUCCAGGGGGAGUAUGGUCGCAAGGCUGAAACUUAAAGAAAUUGACGGAAGGGCACCACCAGGGGUGGAGCCUGCGGCUUAAUUUGACUCAACACGGGGAAACUCACCAGGUCCAGACACAAUGAGGAUUGACAGAUUGAGAGCUCUUUCUUGAUUUUGUGGGUGGUGGUGCAUGGCCGUUCUUAGUUGGUGGAGUGAUUUGUCUGCUUAAUUGCGAUAACGAACGAGACCUUAACCUGCUAAAUAGCCCGUAUUGCUUUGGCAGUACGCCGGCUUCUUANAGGGACUAUCGGCUCAAGCCGAUGGAAGUUUGANGCAAUAACAGGUCUGUGAUGCCCUUA